Oreochromis aureus is the source of this 2661-nucleotide long non-coding RNA. RefSeq lists it as uncharacterized. The transcript has 2 exons. The record is from RefSeq and is a predicted model, not a curated record. NCBI's taxonomy places the organism in Eukaryota, Metazoa, Chordata, Actinopteri, Cichliformes, Cichlidae.
UGUAUUUCUUUAUUGGUGUUCAGCUGUAGAAGCAGGAGAGAUGUACAAACUACAUGGAUACAGCUCCAUCUACUGGUAGUACCUAAACACAAUCCACCAAAAUAAAAGCACUACAGACAGACAGACAGACAGGGACCCUUACUGGAUGCUACUUAAAGUGACCUGACACCUUUGUGUGUUGUUUGAUGUGUGGACAUUCUGCACUGGGGACAAUAAAGUUACCAUGACCAAUUUACCAAAAAUGAAUAAAAAAUAACGACUAUUAUUCAACGUAAAGGAUUUAAAUUGUAAUUGGGAUUAGAGCAGACACUAAUACAUGUUUGGAUGAACUCAGUAUGAUCAUUUUAAACUACACAGACCAACUGUUAUUACACCUUUGACAUAUUACAGCAGUCUCCAAUAAGUAUGAAAAUAUGCCUCAUGGGAUCACAGAUUAAUGUCGUAAACCACUGAGUGGCAAACGGUUUGUUAAGGGAUUUUGUAAUUUUAUGAUGUUUUUCCUUUUUGAUACAUCUUCCUUUUAAUGUUUCAUUUAUUCAGUUCUCCUUAUAUUGCUCCAUUUACUCAUUUACUCAUAUGCUCCUGUUAAGAAAGGCUUGAAAAGCACACAGUGUUCACAUAUCUUUAUGUUUUGUCUUUGCUUCUGCUCACACACAUACACAUGAGCCCUGCAGUAUUCGCUGACUCCUGUGAAAGUCUCUUGCAGACACCCUGGGAAACAGGACCCAAACUGGCUUCUGUUUUCCUCGAGAUAGAAACUGCACACACACACACACAUAUACACUGUGUCCCAUACAUGCCCAGAUUGUCUGUUACAGCCUGAUAAAACAGGGAAUGCUACGAUGUAUAAAUAAAGCUGACUACAAAGCCUCGGGGUGAGUAUCACUCGAUCACUCACCCGUGCGCACGUAGUUCUCUGAACAAAACUCUGACUGUUUCUGUAUUCUUUCAAUGUUUAAAAAUGUCUUGCCACUGACAUUUAAUUGGUCCUUCGAGCCGGAUAGUUUAUUGAUAUUAUUGUAUCAUCUAACUAUUCACAGACGGAGCCACCAGAUCCUGACGUCGUGACUACCUGCACUGCAACCACCGUUUCUAGCGAAGCGAGGAAAAGCCCAGAGUCGUACAUUCGCCUACUGGCCAGUGUCUUAUACAGGUCCACGACGCCAGGUUCUCGGUGACGCCGGGAAAAAGAACACAGCGCAACAUUGAAGUCUCUUCCAGGUUGAAACCAGGAGAUUGGAUCCUGAUAAAAGUGCUCCAGAGGAAAAAGUGGCAUUCCCCGAGGUGGGAAGGACCCUACCAACAGCCUGCAAAAUUGCUGAACGACCUUCCUGGAUUCAUCAGAGCCACUGUAAGAAAGUGAGUGACAGCCCAUAGACACUAAGACGCCAGCACCCCUGCCUGUUAGUGAUCUGGGAGGUGGAGAGAGGGCUGUUUGGGUAAAUCCCGCCCUUGUUCUUCUCGCCCCUAGUCUACUCACUCACAGGACCAGGUGUGUUCGGUCAUCAUGAAGACCCUACUCGUUCUAAUGGCCAGUGUCACAAUUCUGUUGGGACUGCUGUUACUGAUUCCACAAGAAGAACAACAGCACCACCUGGAGGCAAGACUGACACAUGACGCAAUACAUCCAGACGACAUGACACAAGAUCACAACCACCCAUGGAUGAACAAUGCCUGGUACCGUUAUGUGUGCAACUCCACAAGAGACAGAAACUAUUACAUCUGUUCGCACAUGCCAAAACACCUGAUAAUGUGCAUUCCACCAACUUGUCUGACACACUGAACACGCUACGUCAGCUCAGACGAGUACAGCAGCAAGAUUACACGCAAAACACAGCGGACUGGCUCACAUGGCUGCUUAGCGGGUCAUGGAAGUCAUUACUCACAAAAGGACUAACAUUCGUUGGAAUGCUCCUUAUGUUACUUUGCUUAUUUUCCACAUGUGUACUGCCUUGUAUUCGGAGUAUGAUAAGCAAAAUGUUUACUGUAAGAGUGCAAGCUUACAUUGCAUUAUCUCAAGUUGAACAAGCUCGAGAAGAGGUACAAGUUGAAGAAGAUGAUUUUCUAAGCACUAAACUGUGUAAACCCACUAAAGUUGAUCAUGUACGUUUUCACAAAAUGAUACUCUAGUUGAAAAUGCUUCUGCAAGUGACUAGUAGUUGAAGUACAUAAAUAUAUAUGAACAACAGCAGGGAAUGUUAAGGGAUUUUGUAAUUUUAUGAUGUUUUUCCUUUUUGAUACAUCUUCCUUUUAAUGUUUCAUUUAUUCAGUUCUCCUUAUAUUGCUCCAUUUACUCAUUUACUCAUAUGCUCCUGUUAAGAAAGGCUUGAAAAGCACACAGUGUUCACAUAUCUUUAUGUUUUGUCUUUGCUUCUGCUCACACACAUACACAUGAGCCCUGCAGUAUUCGCUGACUCCUGUGAAAGUCUCUUGCAGACACCCUGGGAAACAGGACCCAAACUGGCUUCUGUUUUCCUCGAGAUAGAAACUGCGCACACACACACACACAUAUACACUGUGUCCCAUACAUGCCCAGAUUGUCUGUUACAGCCUGAUAAAACAGGGAAUGCUACGAUGUAUAAAUAAAGCUGACUACAAAGCCUCGGGGUGAGUAUCACUCGAUCACUCACCCGUGCGCACGUAGUUCUCUGAACAAAACUC